CGCUCUCUUCAUCUCACUCAUUAUCUUUGUCCUAACAUUUUCUACUAUCACUUUUCUCUCCUCUGUCUCUAAAAAAUCAAGGUUCCAACUAGCCAAGUUACAAUUGUUGAUAGAGCAAGUUCUUUCAAACCUUGUAAGUUGUAAUCCAUUCAUCUUGAUUGACAUGCAUCCAUCAUGAAAUGUCUCUUAGGGUCAUAUUAGCCAAUCAAAGGAAAAUGUAAAUUAUUUUUCCUUUCCAUGAUGUAUGGCGAUAGCCUAUAGUUGUGCGUAAUUGUCAAAAUAUUGUACACAUUUUUAAUCAAAGUUGCUGGAUUUGGAUUCCCUACAAUCA
Cajanus cajan (pigeon pea) is the source of this 331-nucleotide long non-coding RNA. RefSeq lists it as uncharacterized. Lineage: Eukaryota; Viridiplantae; Streptophyta; Magnoliopsida; Fabales; Fabaceae. The record is from RefSeq and is a predicted model, not a curated record.